Molecule: non-coding RNA, 25 nt
Filed under: Cricetulus griseus (Chinese hamster)
Lineage: Eukaryota; Metazoa; Chordata; Mammalia; Rodentia; Cricetidae
Source: RNAcentral
CUCUCCUGUGGUGUUGAAAGAAGCA